Molecule: long non-coding RNA, 1306 nt
Organism: Zophobas morio
Lineage: Eukaryota; Metazoa; Arthropoda; Insecta; Coleoptera; Tenebrionidae
Exons: 4
Source: RefSeq, a predicted model, not a curated record
AGUACCAAGGGCUAUUUUUUGAUAAGAAAGUGUGCAUGAACCAUGAGCACCGACUGUCAGUAUGUUCAGACCCUUUACGACGCCUAAUUUUGAUAGGAGCGACGGGGUAAGCGACAAUUGUAAGAAGGUGAAGGGGGGAGUACUGGGGCUGCGAGGUAAUCAACGAAAAGAGUCUCCUUAUCCUCACCGCCUUCAGCUACUACAUCGCCGUUAUAUGGUGGCGUUCAAUGAGUUUGGCUGUGCCCCUUGACUCUCCUAACAAACUUUUGAAAGAAGACACUACCGUUGUCACCGGUCUCCCGACGCUUUACCUUACUUGGUUUCUCACUGUUGUUUAAGUGCACCAUCAGCUAUUUUCCUGCUCCCCCGGCGUUGUUGGUUUCAAAUUUAGUAGUCCUGGUCUCGCUUGCAAAGCAUAAUGGUUUGCAAUGGUUCGAAAAUUCGAACGAGAAUGCUAACGUUCCUCACUCAUUCUAUAGAUCUUUCCUGCGCGGCUUUCAGUGGACCUUACUUUCUCGGACGCCAGGCAUAUUGCUAACCAUUAACGGUGUCUGCCAGAUUACAGGGAAGAUAGCACCUGCCGAAGGACUCUUUCCACAGACGACUUUUUGUUAAGUUUAAAAGCAGAUCUUUUGACCCGAGCGUACGCAACCUAGAGCUUUCCGCUGCACAUGCUUACCUUGAGUUAACUUGAUCCCAAAAGAAGCUGCAUUAGCCAAAGAGUUCAGCAAGACCUUCCAGUGUAGAGUGUGACAUGACCAAAGGGUAAUGAACCUACAUUUAGCGUAUGUUCCGGCGACGGGUGGCAACCUUUCAAGAAACCUAGAUCGAAACCAUCAGAGAGUGCAGAGAACUAAGCCGUCUGUAGACGCGAAUUUUAUAUGUAGGCUUGUCUGUUAGAAGGAUUUACACGGCGAUGAACCUGGCGGCAGAAAGCAACCGUUACUUUCUUUGAAGAAUGUACAUUGCAAGCGCGAAGACUCACAAGUUUCAAGCCAACAGUCCAAGGUGCAUGAGACGCGCCUAAUGCUACCAUUAAGCCAACUUGCACAGCUGCCCAAACGGGAUCUUUGAAUGAUGGCCGACGCCCACAUCGCUGUAGUCGCUGCGACAACAAAUGUUGCUUGCGAGUCCUCGCAAAAAGGGUCGGGUAAAGAUGUUUAAAAUAGUAAGGUAGAUUGCAGAGACAACCGCAAACAACGGGACUAGAGAACUAGUCUCUCAUCUCUUAUACGUCAUUUUCAACGCCUUAAUUAUGACAAAAAUACCUCUAUUAGUACUAAAAUAGUACAACCAGCAGUAAAAG